RNAcentral lists this ribosomal RNA (446 nucleotides) under uncultured bacterium. Its description in RNAcentral is "bacterial SSU rRNA". It matches the Rfam family "Bacterial small subunit ribosomal RNA", at positions 330 to 792 of the family's 1533-position model. The record is from RNAcentral.
UCCAGACUCCUACGGGAGGCAGCAGUGGGGGAUAUUGCACAAUGGGGGGAACCCUGAUGCAGCGACGCCGCGUGGGUGAAGGAGCGUUUCGGCGCGUAAAGCCCUAUCGGCAGGGAAGAAGGAGGACGGUACCUGACUAAGAAGCCCCGGCUAACUACGUGCCAGCAGCCGCGGUAAUACGUAGGGGGCAAGCGUUAUCCGGAUUUACUGGGUGUAAAGGGGGCGCAGACGGCAGCGCAAGCCAGGAGUGAAAGCCCGGGGCCCAACCCCGGGACUGCUCUUGGAACUGCGCGGCUGGAGUGCAGGAGGGGCAGGCGGAAUUCCUGGUGUAGCGGUGAAAUGCGUAGAUAUCAGGAGGAACACCGGCGGCGAAGGCGGCCUGCUGGACCGCGACUGACGUUGAGGCUCGAAAGCGUGGGGAGCAAACAGGAUUAGAUACCCGAGUA